UAAUACGUAGGGUGCGAGCGUUGUCCGGAAUUAUUGGGCGUAAAGGGCUCGUAGGCGGUUUGUCGCGUCGGGAGUGAAAACCCAGGGCUUAACCCUGGGCUGGCUUCCGAUACGGGCAGACUAGAGGUAUGCAGGGGAGAACGGAAUUCCUGGUGUAGCGGUGAAAUGCGCAGAUAUCAGGAGGAACACCGGUGGCGAAGGCGGUUCUCUGGGCAUUACCUGACGCUGAGGAGCGAAAGUGUGGGGAGCGAACAGGAUUAGAUACCCUGGUAGUCCACACCGUAAACGUUGGGCGCUAG
Molecule: ribosomal RNA, 299 nt
Filed under: uncultured bacterium
Lineage: Bacteria
Description: partial 16S ribosomal RNA
Rfam family: Bacterial small subunit ribosomal RNA
Source: RNAcentral